Molecule: ribosomal RNA, 459 nt
Filed under: uncultured bacterium
Lineage: Bacteria
Description: partial 16S ribosomal RNA
Rfam family: Bacterial small subunit ribosomal RNA
Source: RNAcentral
CCUACGGGAGGCAGCAGUGAGGAAUAUUGGUCAAUGGCCGGAAGGCUGAACCAGCCAAGCCGCGUGAAGGACGAAGGUGCCAAGCAUUGUAAACUUCUUUUGUCAAGGGACAAAAUCAGGCUCGAGAGCCUGACCGAGGGUACUUGAAGAAAAAGCAUAGGCUAACUCCGUGCCAGCAGCCGCGGUAAUACGGAGGAUGCGAGGGUUAUCCGGAUUUAUUGGGUUUAACGGGUGCGUAGGCGGGCUGUUAAGUCAGCGGUAAAAGCCCGGGGCUAAACCUCGGCGAGCCGUUGAAACUGGCUGGCUUGAGAUGUCGAGAGGUAGGCGGAAUGCGCAGUGUAGCGGUGAAAUGCGUAGAUAUUGCGCAGAACUCCGAUGGCGAAGGCAGCAUACCGGCGGCGAUCUGACGCUGAGGCACGAAAGCGUGGGUAUCGAACAGGAUUAGAUACCCUGGUAGUC